UAGGGAAUCUUCGGCAAUGGACGAAAGUCUGACCGAGUAACGCCGCGUGAGUGAAGAAGGUUUCGGAUCGUAAAACUCUGUUGGUAGAGAAGAACGUUGGUGAGAGUGGAAAGCUCAUCAAGUGACGGUAACUACCCAGAAAGGGACGGCUAACUGCGUGCCAG
This 164-nucleotide ribosomal RNA is filed under the name uncultured bacterium. Its description in RNAcentral is "partial 16S rRNA". It matches the Rfam family "Bacterial small subunit ribosomal RNA", at positions 355 to 511 of the family's 1533-position model. The record is from RNAcentral.